Molecule: small nuclear RNA, 107 nt
Organism: Gopherus agassizii (Agassiz's desert tortoise)
Lineage: Eukaryota; Metazoa; Chordata; Testudines; Testudinidae
Source: Ensembl
CUGCUCCUGGAGCGCAGCACGUAUACUAAAAUUGGAACGAUACAGAGAGAUUAGCAUGGCCCCUGCGCAAAGAUGACGUGAAAAUUCGUGAUUACAUGAGAAUCUCA